CACCUCAGUCCAGUAGGGCCCUUUAGUAGGGUUGCCAGUCCUAGGUUGGUGGCGAGGGUCGCCGUUCCUAGGAGGCCACAAAAGCGGACUAAGACUAUGGUGGAGUGGGGUCCACGUCCAGCACCCGAGCCGCCGCCGUGAAAGAGGCCCACCCGGACCCUCCCCUUUAGAUUAGGUUUUUGCGGCCAGAGUCUGCACCUUUGUGGGAGGGUACUGUUACGCCCUGACCUUAGUAUUCUUUGUUUUCUUUAUUAUUUUGGUUAGGUCAGGGUGUGACAUGGGUGAUAUGUGUGUUUUUGUCUCAUUCUAUGGUGUUUGUACUGUCUAGGGUUUUUUGUAGAUUUAUGGGGUUAUUUUCAUCUAGGUGUUUAUCGUUGUCUCUGAUUGGGAACCAUAUUUAGGCAGCCAUCUUCUUUGGGUAUUUCGUGGGUUAUUGUCUAUGUUAUGUUGCACAUUGGCACAUUGUUUAUAUAGCGGUCACGUUCGUCUUAUUUGUUUUGUUGUUUUUGUUUAAGUGUUCUUCGUGUUCUUCAUUAAAUAAAGAGGAAUGUAUUCUAA
Molecule: RNA transcript, 558 nt
Organism: Oncorhynchus mykiss (rainbow trout)
Lineage: Eukaryota; Metazoa; Chordata; Actinopteri; Salmoniformes; Salmonidae
Source: RefSeq, a predicted model, not a curated record